CAUCAAAAACCAAGUCUCUAAGCAAUGGAUGUCUUGGCUCCUCACACGAUGAAGAACGUGGCAUAAUGUGUUAAGUAACCGGAGUUGCAAACAUCAUGACAGGUUAAUCUUUGAAUGCAAAUUGCGCUAAACUCGAUCUCGGUCGAGAAGCAUGGGUGUGACAGUACUACAUCUUUUAUAAUAAUUCUUAUUCUAAGCGAAUAAGUAAAUAAUAUAUAAGACAAACAACACGUAGUCUGCCAUACGCAGGAAGACCCGCUGAACUGAAGCAUCUCAUUAAGCGGAGGAAAAGAAACUAACUAGGAUUCCCUUAGUAAAGGCGAUCGAAAAGGGAACAGCCCAACGUCUUAAUCCCGCAAGGGAAAAGUAGUCUGUUCACCUAUUGCACUGGUCUAAGUCAAAUG
Molecule: non-coding RNA, 404 nt
Organism: Trichomonas vaginalis G3
Lineage: Eukaryota; Parabasalia; Trichomonadida; Trichomonadidae
Source: Rfam